ACAAUGACCUCCGCCUCUGGCAACUGCUUGACGCAGUUGGACAGCUGGGGAGGGAAACAUGGGCGCCUGGGGGAUAGUCACGAGAGUGGCAGGAACCUGGGAAGCACACAUUUAGACGGAGAGUGAUUGUGUGAUAAACAUUGGUAGAACUCGGCAGUAUGGAAACAUAUUGCAUGGAUCUACAUCCAAUAAACAAAAA
Molecule: unclassified non-coding RNA, 199 nt
Filed under: uncultured fungus
Lineage: Eukaryota; Fungi
Description: sequence contains ITS1, 5.8S rRNA gene
Source: RNAcentral